GAACGGGUGAGUAACACGUGGGUGAUCUGCCCUGCACUUUGGGAUAAGCCUGGGAAACUGGGUCUAAUACCGAAUAGGACCACGCGCUUCAUGGUGUGUGGUGGAAAGCUUUUGCGGUGUGGGAUGGGCCCGCGGCCUAUCAGCUUGUUGGUGGGGUAAUGGCCUACCAAGGCGACGACGGGUAGCCGGCCUGAGAGGGUGACCGGCCACACUGGGACUGAGAUACGGCCCAGACUCCUACGGGAGGCAGCAGUGGGGAAUAUUGCACAAUGGGCGCAAGCCUGAUGCAGCGACGCCGCGUGAGGGAUGACGGCCUUCGGGUUGUAAACCUCUUUCAAUAGGGACGAAGCGCAAGUGACGGUACCUAUAGAAGAAGCACCGGCCAACUACGUGCCAGCAGCCGCGGUAAUACGUAGGGUGCGAGCGUUGUCCGGAAUUACUGGGCGUAAAGAGCUCGUAGGUGGUUUGUCGCGUUGUUCGUGAAAACUCACAGCUUAACUGUGGGCGUGCGGGCGAUACGGGCAGACUAGAGUACUGCAGGGGAGACUGGAAUUCCUGGUGUAGCGGUGGAAUGCGCAGAUAUCAGGAGGAACACCGGUGGCGAAGGCGGGUCUCUGGGCAGUAACUGACGCUGAGGAGCGAAAGCGUGGGGAGCGAACAGGAUUAGAUACCCUGGUAGUCCACGCCGUAAACGGUGGGUACUAGGUGUGGGUUCCUUCCUUGGGAUCCGUGCCGUAGCUAACGCANNAAGUACCC
This 756-nucleotide ribosomal RNA is filed under the name uncultured bacterium. RNAcentral describes it as "bacterial SSU rRNA". It matches the Rfam family "Bacterial small subunit ribosomal RNA", at positions 100 to 869 of the family's 1533-position model. The record is from RNAcentral.